AACAGCCUCUAUAAACCAACAUUUUCUCAACAGCGUCUUACCAACAUUUUCUCAACAGCUCUUAACCAACGAUUUCUCAACAGGGCUCUUAACCAACGUUUUCUCAACAGGGCUCUUAAUCAACAUUUUCUCAACAGCUCCUAACCCACAUUUUCUCAAUAUCCUCUAACAAAAAUUUUCUCAACAGCCUCUAACAAAAAUUUUCUCAACAGGGCUCUUAACCAACGUUUUCUCAACAGGGCUCUUAACCAACGUUUUCUCAACAGCUUCUUACCAAAAUAUUCUUAACCAUUUUUGCCAACAGCGCUUGACAUGGCCCCCACUUAGGUUUCUUUCUUUGUUUUUGUUUUCCCGCAGUCCUCGUCUAGUUUUUUGCCAAACUGGAUGAUGUGGAAGAUGAUUGAAACGCAGAAAAUGAGAAGACGGACAAUGUUGAAACUCCUUCUGAUGUCUCCCAGUUGUGACCCAAGGUCAUGGGUCAAGUAUUUGCAACAAAGAUUCAUGAAUGAGAUGAUAAGAAGGAGGUUGUGUGCUGCCAAAUCUUCACUGAGCUGAGGAGAUAAGAAGGAGGUUGUGUGCUGCCAAAUCGUCACUGAGCUGAGGAGAUAAGAAGGAGGUUGUGUGCUGCCAAAUCUUCACUGAGAUGAGGAGAUAAGGAGGUUGUGUGCUGCCAAAUCUUCACUGAGAUGAGGAGAUACCAACCAGCAGGAACUGGCAUGGGCCAUGCAAAAGAUUUGUUUUGAGAAGUCUCCGAUGAUGAAGUGACUACAACUGGAGCUGUUUGAAGGAUCAAUGCUGGAGGAUGCAGGGAAUGGUUACUUCAACCAGAUCUAUUUGGACGAGCAUUGAGCCAACUAGACCACUUGAUUGAGAUAAUGACAUUGGAGAUGAGAUAUACUUUUUGGACUAUUGUACCACCAGCUGCUCUGUCAAGUCUAGCCAGAUUACUCUCCGUUACAAGAUCAGCCCUUCAAGUGACAUAUGGAUGUUCCAGACUACCCAAAUGCUUUCUGGACAGCUGCAAAGAGCCAACAACAGACCACUUGAUUGAGACAGAUUGAGACGAUGACCUUUUUGGUCCGUGUACCACCAGCUGAAGAACGACUGUGUCAUACAUGGGUCUUGCUAGUCGACUCUGCGCUACAAGUCCAACCAUUCAGUAAUGUAGGGAUAGGCUGAUCGACACUUUUUGGAGUGUGUGCCACCAACCAGCUGAAGGACUUUCUUGCCACAAGAUUCCGCUGCAAGUUCAACCAUUUAAGAGGCGUGGGAUAGAGUCAACACUUGUUGGCCUGUGGACCACCAGCUGAAGGACUCCUGUUAAACCUACUGUAGUAUAGCAAGGCAACUCUUUAACGGCUUGCAAGUUUAACUGUUGCUAUGACAGAGGGAUGUUGAGGGCAACCAACGCUUUUUGGACUGUGCUACCCGUCGAAGGACAAUGUGCUACCCGUCGAAGGACAAUGUACUACCCGUCAAAGGACAAUGUGCUACCCGUCAAAGGACCUUGUCAAGUCUUGAUAAAUUACUCUCCACAAAGCAAUAACAUUCAUCGCAAGACAAAUUGCCAGUAUUAAGGCCGAGUCACACUGCAGCGAUAACUAAAACAAUAACGAUCACGAGGCAAAGAGAAUGCAUUCUAUUGGUUGAACUGCUCCACGCAGAAUACGUGGGGGACCAUGCAGUCCAAUAAUUGUGGCUGGUAACCUGUUUCCGUUAAACAAUCUUUUUCUUUGCUUAGCAAAUUUUUGUGCUUACAGGCUUUAUGAAAUUGGGCAAUGGUAGUUUGGCUUGUAACUGCAAUCUAGUAAACAACAUAAUUUGUUUACGCUUAGCUACUUUUUCUGCGUAAGCAGCUCCAUGAAAUUGGACCAUAGACUCGGGAGACAACAAUCGUAAUAGUCUGUGCCUGAAGUGGUGGAUGCGGCUAUGGCUACAGGUGUCUGUAUGAUCCUCACGAUCAAGCCACAUCCGUAGCCACUAAUUCAGAUACAGCCUUGUCUAUACUCAAUUUUUGAAUCCAUCAAACUCCAACACCAUUGUACAGUGUUAGCUUCAGUAACGGAGUUCAGAAAAUUGGUCCCAUGCUAAGCAUUGUCAAGUUAUUAAAUGGAAAAUCAAAUUCAGUCAAACACUCUUUGGAUUUUGAUGGUGUCAAACAGAGAGGGUUAGGAAUACAACUCUACAGGGCCCAACUUCAAAGAGCUGUUUAAGCAGAAAUUAUUGCUUAAAGGUAUCUAUGGUCUGCUGAGCAGAAAUGAGCAGGAUACCACUCACAAAUUGUGAAUGGUAGUCAGUGGGUAUUCUGGUAAGCAUAAUUUGGUUAUGCUUAGCUACUUUCUGUGCUUAUAAGCAGUUCUAUGAAAUUGGGCC
Long non-coding RNA from Asterias rubens (European starfish), 2373 nucleotides. RefSeq lists it as uncharacterized. The transcript has 5 exons. Lineage: Eukaryota; Metazoa; Echinodermata; Asteroidea; Forcipulatida; Asteriidae. The record is from RefSeq and is a predicted model, not a curated record.